RNAcentral lists this ribosomal RNA (265 nucleotides) under uncultured bacterium. RNAcentral describes it as "partial 16S ribosomal RNA". It matches the Rfam family "Bacterial small subunit ribosomal RNA", at positions 90 to 354 of the family's 1533-position model. The record is from RNAcentral.
CCGGACCGGCGACGGGUGAGUAACGCGUAUCCAACCUGCCCUUUACUAUGGGACAGCCCGUCGAAAGGCGGAUUAAUACCGUAUGUUGUCAUGUUGAUGCAUAUUUUCAUGACCAAAGGCUUCGGCCGGUAAAGGAUGGGGAUGCGUCUGAUUAGCUUGCCGGCGGGGUAACGGCCCACCGGGGCGACGAUCAGUAGGGGUUCUGAGAGGAAGGUCCCCCACAUUGGAACUGAGACACGGUCCAAACUCCUACGGAAGGCAGCAG